GACCGAGGGUGCAAACGUUGCUCGGAAUUACUGGGCGUAAAGCGCGUGUAGGCGGGAAGGUAAGUCGGGUGUGAAAUCCCUGGGCUCAACCUAGGAACUGCAUUCGAAACUGUCUUUCUGGAGUGAUGGAGAGGAAAGCGGAAUUCCCGGUGUAGAGGUGAAAUGCGUAGAGAUCGGGAGGAAGGCCGGUGGCGAAGGCGGCGCUCUGGAACAUUUCUGACGCUGAGGCUCGAAAGCGUGGGGAGCAAACAGG
RNAcentral lists this ribosomal RNA (253 nucleotides) under uncultured bacterium. Its description in RNAcentral is "partial 16S ribosomal RNA". It matches the Rfam family "Bacterial small subunit ribosomal RNA", at positions 524 to 776 of the family's 1533-position model. The record is from RNAcentral.